AGUACUAAACAAAAAAAAAAACCAAAUUCCUCAAUAAUCAAAACACCCAUCCAAAAUCUCCGGAAACGAGCCCUUAAUCUCACAAUCCUGCACCAACAAGGCAUCCACAAACGAAUCGAAAGACGAAUCGGAAGAAGACCCUUCACAUUGCUGCGAAAAGGGCUCAAUCCCAUUACGCUGCUCCGAACAACACGACGAAGAAGCAGCAAAAUGGAACAAGCCUUCACCGCCAUUGAUGGAGGACGAUGAACAAGACGAGGUUGUCGGUUGUUCAUUGAAAAACUGUGGUUUCUUUGGGGUCUGAAACUGAAAUUGCUGUCCCAAAUAGGCCCCUGAAGAAAAUGGUUGCUGGGUUUUGGCCAUUGUUGUUGUUGUUGUUGGGUUCAAGGUUUUGUUGAAGGGGCCUAUCAGGGGGGGUUUGGGCGUGGCUGGGAGGCUGCUUAUGGAUCCAUAGUCAAACAGGAUCUGAGAAAAGGGCUUCUGCUUUGCUAUUACAGACCACCUGCACUAAUCAAUGGAGACAGAGACAGAGAUUGUGUGUUAUUCAUCUUCAAGUACUCAAUAACAUGCCCAUUAUCUUUGUGGACUCAACCUUCGAUUUCUCGACAACGACGCCAUCGUUUCCGGCGAGAGCUCUGUACUUGUCUUUUCUGGUGAAGUUAGUGCACUUAUACGAC
This is a long non-coding RNA of Cucurbita moschata (crookneck pumpkin), 677 nucleotides long. RefSeq lists it as uncharacterized. Lineage: Eukaryota; Viridiplantae; Streptophyta; Magnoliopsida; Cucurbitales; Cucurbitaceae. The transcript has 3 exons. The record is from RefSeq and is a predicted model, not a curated record.